ACCCUAACUUUAGCAAUUGCAUCUCACAAAACUUGAAUUUUUAUCCUUCAAAUCACAAUUGAAGGGAAAUCAAAGCCUAUAAACAACAGGCGAAUCAUUUAAGAACAAUAUUGCUGCGCGUGAUGAUGAAGAGGUGUAAUUGCGAUUGAAUGAAAAUAUAUGGGCCUUGCUCUUCCGGUUUGCUUUGCUAUCCCGUUUUGGAUUUUUCUUCACCAUUUUUACAGAGUCAAAUUAGAUAUUUUUGGCAAAAAAAACAAUAGUACUUUUUACUACUAUGAAAAUGACAGAAGAGGAAGUAAGUUAGAGUCUUACCAAAUGGGGUUAAUUGCUAACCACACUCAAAUAAAAGCCAUUAAUGGCUAACUGCAACUAACAUCAAAGGAGUUUAAGAGAUAAAAGGGAGGGAGAAAUGGGGGAUUGAGGGAAAAUCGUGAGAAAAGAGGGGAAAGGAAAAAAAAAAA
This is a long non-coding RNA of Chenopodium quinoa (quinoa), 461 nucleotides long. RefSeq lists it as uncharacterized. Lineage: Eukaryota; Viridiplantae; Streptophyta; Magnoliopsida; Caryophyllales; Amaranthaceae. The record is from RefSeq and is a predicted model, not a curated record. The transcript is spliced from 2 exons.